Molecule: RNA transcript, 2853 nt
Organism: Oncorhynchus gorbuscha (pink salmon)
Lineage: Eukaryota; Metazoa; Chordata; Actinopteri; Salmoniformes; Salmonidae
Gene name: Kv channel-interacting protein 4-like
Exons: 7
Source: RefSeq, a predicted model, not a curated record
UCUCUCCUCAUCCGUAGCGCUCACAUACACUAAUCUCCCUUGACAGAGAGAGAUACAUAGACAAAGAGAGUGAAAGAGAAAAAGGCACACUUUAAACACUUCAGGAGCCACGUUAUGUUUCUGGCACCCUUACACUAUUCUCUUACUUCUUAGCAACUCUGUGGGACAUUUCCUGUAUGCCUCUAGCAGACUUUCUGGGACUCUAAGGCAGACGUCUUCUCCUCAUCCACCGUUCAGCUUCCAUCCCACCCUGUCUGGAUUUGGGGAGUGAGCAGGCGUGUGGGUAGGCGCGACGGAGGUGGAGAGGGCGCGGGGGAGCUGGAGCACAGGGGACGCAGAUCCAGAGCGCGAGGAGGCUGGGUCGGGGGCCGGAGCUGGGGCAUGGUGGAGGCAUGCUGAACGCGUUGUGGGAGACUGAGGGGCUGCAGGCGGUGGUAAUCGUGGUGCUGGUGUGUGCCUCGCUCAAGCUGCUGCAUCUGCUGGGACUCAUCAACUUCUCAGAGGACAGCGUGGAGGAUGAGUUGGAGCUUUCAGCCGUCCGCCAUCGCCCCGAGGGCCUGGAGCAACUGGAGGCCCUGACCCGCUUCAACCGCAAAGAGCUGCAGAUCCUCUACCGAGGCUUCAAGAAUGAGUGCCCUAGCGGCGUGGUCAAUGAAGACACCUUCAAAGUCAUCUACUCCCAGUUCUUCCCACAGGGAGACGCGUCGAUGUAUGCACAUUUUCUGUUCAACGCGUUUGACACGGAUAAAGAUGGAUCUGUGAGUUUUGAGGACUUUGUUAUGGGCCUCUCUAUCCUCCUCCGAGGCUCAGUCCAGGAGAAGCUCAACUGGGCGUUCAAUCUGUAUGAUAUUAAUAAGGACGGACAUAUUACUAAAGAGGAAAUGCUUGACAUCAUGAAGGCCAUCUAUGACAUGAUGGGGAAAUGCACAUAUCCCCUACUCAAAGACGAUACCCCUCGACAACAUGUGGAGAUAUUUUUUCAGGUGUGUGUUUUUUUUAAAGUGCCAUACAUUGUUGCCAAAAUGUGCAUAUUGCAUUCACCAUCAUCAUCAGCAUGUAUUGUAUGGACCAACAGUCCAAUGCUUGUCAUAUUUAAAUACAAGUUACAUUAAAGAACAAUGGCAUUUGUUAUGUGGAAUGAAAAUAACUAUUUACCAUAUUUUGAAUUAGUUCAUCCAUGUGUACUAUUACAAUAUACAUAUUUUGCAUUGCCUUCCCAACCUCUCUGACGUUCCUGACCAACCUCUCGGAUGUUCCUGACGAACCUCUCGGAUGUUCCUGACGAACCUCUCGGAUGUUCCUGACGAACCUCUCGGAUGUUCCUGACGAACCUCUCGGAUGUUCCUGACGAACCUCUCGGAUGUUCCUGACCAACAGAAGAUGGAUAAAAAUAAGGAUGGUGUUGUAACCAUAGACGAGUUUAUUGACUGCUGCCAAAAUGAUGAGAACAUCAUGAGGUCGAUGCAGCUCUUUGAAAACGUAAUUUAACUCGUGGCUGACUUGGAGGGCUCUGGACUCGACUAUCAACAGACACCAACCAACAACCGGCAUACGCCGCAAUGGACCACACAAAUCAUACAUGUAAUGGUAUGAAACAUUCUGGAAUAACUGUAAAAAGAAAAGAAUUGAUCUUUACAAUCUUUACAAUUUGAGUUUUGUGGUUUGAUUAAGUAGAUUGAACUCUUCAAAUCUCCUGUGUACAAAGACACACAUAUCUUAACAGCUGUGCUGCAGUCACCAUUUACAGUAUCUGCAGUACAGGAAUCCAGCAAACUGGGUCAUCACUGUUUCACACAGACACAAAAUAAUGAACCCCGCCUAUUUCUAAGAUGUAUCUUCUUAAAAUUGUAUUCCAAACUUUAACCCUGAUUUUAUACCAAACCUUAAAUUAAAACCAAAAUGCAAAUGUUUUGUUUUCAUUAAUUUUUACGAUAUUUCAUUUGUGCCUGUGUUAUCUAGUGGAAACCAGCAAAAUGUGUUAUCUUAUGCCACUGCCUUUGAACAGAUGGACAACAAUGAGCCUUGAAGGUGAAAGUUUGUAUGAUGAAUAGUGACAUAACUGUAUGCUGAAAUCAGGCUCAGAAUUCCAGAAUGUUCCUAACCACUGAGGUUUUUCAGCCACCACGGUCCAUCCUUUGCUCUCCCAGCACCCAAGUAAAAUAGACUUAACAUUGUACCAUUUAAAAAAAAAGUGUAUAUACUCUAAGAAUCUAUGUGGAACUUUCAACUUUGUUCAUGCUUACUUGCCAACUAAAAUGAGACGAUGCACUCCACGUUGAAUUCGAUGACGAGUCUGGACGGUGAAAAGUAUCAUUAGAAGCACACAGGUAGCUGUUACUUACAUUGAGUAUGCGAUUAGGAGAAACAAUUAUCUUGCCACAAGAUUAUGCUGCUUUUAAAUGUACUGUAUUUUAUUUGACCGUACAUGUCUGUAUUCCCCAUGUGUCCUGUUUGAAUUGUUUUCAUUCAUGUUUCAAAUAACAAUUUUGCAGGUUACACUGGUAUGUUGGAUUUUAAUUAUAUAGAUAUGAUAUAUGGUAGAUCUGCUAGUCAAUGUACAAAGGGAUAGUCAGGUGGACAGUAUUAAGCAGAAGCUCACUCUUGGGGGGGAAAUGAUGGCCUUUUUGAAUAUGCAAGUUUAUCACUGUCCUUUGCAGAGGGUCACUGGGGUGAAGCUAUACAAGCAAAUUGGAAUCUGUCAUACUUUGGUUUUGAGAGGUAGAUCUGUUGCCCUGUCCAGAAACAACCCCUAUCCCCAACUAUCUAGACAAUAUUUGUAUUUUAUUUUUUUAAACAUUAUUUCACCUUUAUUUAACCAGGUAAACUGGUUGAGAACAAGUUCUCAUUGACAAC